UACGUAGGGUGCAAGCGUUGUCCGGAAUUAUUGGGCGUGAAGAGCUCGUAGGCGGUCUGUCACGUCGGCUGUGAAAACCCGGGGCUCAACCCCGGGCCUGCAGUCGAUACGGGCAGACUAGAGUGCGGUAGGGGAGACUGGAAUUCCUGGUGUAGCGGUGAAAUGCGCAGAUAUCAGGAGGAACACCGGUGGCGAAGGCGGGUCUCUGGGCCGAUACUGACGCUGAGGAGCGAAAGCGUGGGGAGCGAACAGG
Molecule: ribosomal RNA, 253 nt
Filed under: uncultured bacterium
Lineage: Bacteria
Description: partial 16S ribosomal RNA
Rfam family: Bacterial small subunit ribosomal RNA
Source: RNAcentral